GACGAACGCUGGCGGCGUGCCUAAUACAUGCAAGUAGAACGCACAGUUUAUACCUUAGCUUGCUACACCAUAGACUGUGAGUUGCGAACGGGUGAGUAACGCGUAGGUAACCUGCCUGGUAGCGGGGGAUAACUAUUGGAAACGAUAGCUAAUACCGCAUAAUAUUAAUUAUUGCAUGAUAAUUAAUUGAACGGUGCAAUUGCACCACUACCAUAUGGACCUGCGUUGUAUUAGCUAGUAGGUGAGGUAACGGCUCACCUAGGCGACGAUACAUAGCCGACCUGAGAGGGUGAUCGGCCACACUGGGACUGAGACACGGCCCAGACUCCUACGGGAGGCAGCAGUAGGGAAUCUUCGGCAAUGGACGAAAGUCUGACCGAGCAACGCCGCGUGAGUGAAGAAGGUUUUCGGAUCGUAAAGCUCUGUUGUAAGAGAAGAACGGGUGUGAGAGUGGAAAGUUCACACUGUGACGGUAUCUUACCAGAAAGGGACGGCUAACUACGUG
RNAcentral lists this ribosomal RNA (505 nucleotides) under uncultured bacterium. RNAcentral describes it as "partial 16S ribosomal RNA". It matches the Rfam family "Bacterial small subunit ribosomal RNA", at positions 28 to 507 of the family's 1533-position model. The record is from RNAcentral.